This 411-nucleotide ribosomal RNA is filed under the name uncultured bacterium. RNAcentral's name for it is "bacterial SSU rRNA". It matches the Rfam family "Bacterial small subunit ribosomal RNA", at positions 505 to 916 of the family's 1533-position model. The record is from RNAcentral.
GUGUCAGCAGCCGCGGUAAUACGUAGGGUGCAAGCGUUAAUCGGAAUUACUGGGCGUAAAGCGUGCGCAGGCGGCCAUGCAAGACAGAUGUGAAAUCCCCGAGCUCAACUUGGGAACUGCAUUUGUGACUGCAUGGCUGGAGUGCGGCAGAGGGGGAUGGAAUUCCGCGUGUAGCAGUGAAAUGCGUAGAUAUGCGGAGGAACACCGAUGGCGAAGGCAAUCCCCUGGGCCUGCACUGACGCUCAUGCACGAAAGCGUGGGGAGCAAACAGGAUUAGAUACCCUGGUAGUCCACGCCCUAAACGAUGUCAACUGGUUGUUGGGAGGGUGUCUUCUCAGUAACGUAGCUAACGCGUGAAGUUGACCGCCUGGGGAGUACGGCCGCAAGGUUGAAACUCAAAGAAAUUGACGG